Molecule: long non-coding RNA, 885 nt
Organism: Drosophila guanche
Lineage: Eukaryota; Metazoa; Arthropoda; Insecta; Diptera; Drosophilidae
Exons: 3
Source: RefSeq, a predicted model, not a curated record
AUCUGUAUCGCUAUCAACUAAAGGAGUUUCAGAGGCCAAGAAAGUUUUUUUCAAGUGUAUAAGUGCAGUUUAAGUUAAAUUUACACCGCCAAAUUGGACCACCAUCGAUCUGCUAGACCAACUAGCCUGCGAGAGCCGCAAGGCAUUGAUUAGAUAAGCAUUAGAGGAGGCUCGCCCGCUAUAAGUACCAGCUGGGGUGAAAAAAAAAUAAAAAUAAACCUGCACAUAAGUAAGCCAUAGCGGAGGCUCGGCCCUUUGAAUUUGUCAGCUGGAGCGACAGAGAGUUUCGCCGGAGCUUUUGCCGCCGCUAAGCAAGCAAGCAAGCAAGCGAGAGGGAAGACGGCGCACAGUACCAGGCCAACGGCGGCCGCUUAAAACAGCGCCAAAGCGUUGCUUACGCGGAGUAAUUAAAACCCCGCUAGGGAGGGGAGGGGAAUAAACGAAUUAUUGAAAUCAAAAUUACAGCCCAACCCACUCAAUAAGUGAAAAGAAUGUUAUAGAAAAAAUGAGAGAAAAACACCCUCCACUAAUGUUUAAAUACGUAUAAUUAUAGUCUAAAAAUCUUUAUUUAAAUGGAUAGCGGCCGAAAUCGGAAGCGCUUCAACGAUGGAGGUACCGACUGUGAGUAACUAUAUAUCUACAAUUGAAAUUAUUUCUUGUUUGGGCGCAAUGGUCCAUUAGUUAGGGCGAAUAGGGUAAAAGAAUAAGAGAGAAAAAAAACGGAGAGCCCAAGCCCCUAAACACAUAUACCCUUCCCAUUAAAAAUAGAGGGUAUCUGUAUGCAAGUGCAGGUGCAGCUGGUUUUUUUUGUUUUCUCCACAUUUUUCAAUCUCGCUUCCCAUGCCUUCACCCUUCUUUAUUUUCCCCUCUUAUCAUGUCCAUUUA